AUCCUUUGGUUCAUGAGCAUGAUGAUCGGGUGUUCGCACUAUUGUAUAAGAUGUGCCUCUCUCUAAACCUUGUUAUGACUUUGGCACAUUACCCAUCUGACA
Molecule: small nucleolar RNA, 102 nt
Organism: Sciurus carolinensis (gray squirrel)
Lineage: Eukaryota; Metazoa; Chordata; Mammalia; Rodentia; Sciuridae
Product: small nucleolar RNA U13
Exons: 1
Source: RefSeq, a predicted model, not a curated record